RNAcentral lists this ribosomal RNA (432 nucleotides) under uncultured bacterium. RNAcentral's name for it is "partial 16S ribosomal RNA". It matches the Rfam family "Bacterial small subunit ribosomal RNA", at positions 29 to 506 of the family's 1533-position model. The record is from RNAcentral.
AACGAACGCUGGCGGCAUGCCUAACACAUGCAAGUCGAACGAGACCUUCGGGUCUAGUGGCGCACGGGUGCGUAACGCGUGGGAACCUGCCCUUAGGUUCGGAAUAACUCCCCGAAAGGGGUGCUAAUACCGGAUAAUGUCUUCGGACCAAAGAUUUAUCGCCUUUGGAUGGGCCCGCGUUGGAUUAGCUAGUUGGUAGGGUAAAAGCCUACCAAGGCGACGAUCCAUAGCUGGUCUGAGAGGAUGAUCAGCCACACUGGGACUGAGACACGGCCCAGACUCCAACGGGAGGCAGCAGUGGGGAAUAUUGGACAAUGGGCGAAAGCCUGAUCCAGCAAUGCCGCGUGAGUGAUGAAGGCCUUAGGGUUGUAAAGCUCUUUUACCCGGGAUGAUAAUGACAGUACCGGGAGAAUAAGCUCCGGCUAACUCCGU